This 137-nucleotide ribosomal RNA is filed under the name uncultured bacterium. RNAcentral describes it as "partial 16S ribosomal RNA". It matches the Rfam family "Bacterial small subunit ribosomal RNA", at positions 355 to 506 of the family's 1533-position model. The record is from RNAcentral.
UGGGGAAUAUUGGGCAAUGGGCGCAAGCCUGACCCAGCAACGCCGCGUGAAGGAAGAAGGCUUUCGGGUUGUAAACUUCUUUUCUGAGGGACGAAGAAAGUGACGGUACCUCAGGAAUAAGCCACGGCUAACUACGU